CACGUGGAUAAUCUGCCCUAAGGUCUGGGAUAACACUUCGAAAGAGGUGCUAAUACCGGAUAAGCUCACGCCUUCUUCGGAAGAGGUGAGAAAAGAUUUAUUGCCUUAGGAUGAGUCCGCGGUCCAUUAGCUAGUUGGUGGGGUAACGGCCUACCAAGGCUGCGAUGGAUAGCUGGUCUGAGAGGAUGAUCAGCCACACUGGAACUGAGACACGGUCCAGACUCCUACGGGAGCAGCAGUGGGGAAUUUUGCGCAAUGGGGGAAACCCUGACGCAGCAACGCCGCGUGAAGGAUGAAGGCCCUUGGGUCGUAAACUUCU
This 319-nucleotide ribosomal RNA is filed under the name uncultured Campylobacterota bacterium. Its description in RNAcentral is "bacterial SSU rRNA". It matches the Rfam family "Bacterial small subunit ribosomal RNA", at positions 114 to 434 of the family's 1533-position model. The record is from RNAcentral. Lineage: Bacteria; Pseudomonadati; Campylobacterota.